UACGUAGGUGACUAGCGUUGUCCGGAUUUACUGGGCGUAAAGGGCGCGUAGGCGGCCUUCUAAGUCGGACGUGAAAUCCCCAGGCUUAACUUGGGAACUGCGUCCGAUACUGGAGGGCUUGAGUGCGGGAGAGGGAUGUGGAAUUCCAGGUGUAGCGGUGAAAUGCGUAGAUAUCUGGAGGAACACCGGUGGCGAAGGCGGCAUCCUGGACCGACACUGACGCUGAUGCGCGAAAGCCAGGGGAGCAAACGGG
Molecule: ribosomal RNA, 253 nt
Filed under: uncultured bacterium
Lineage: Bacteria
Description: partial 16S ribosomal RNA
Rfam family: Bacterial small subunit ribosomal RNA
Source: RNAcentral